UACGUAGGGGGCAAGCGUUGUCCGGAAUCAUUGGGCGUAAAGAGCGUGUAGGCGGCUCGUUAAGUCGGAUGUGAAAGUCCAGGGCUCAACCCUGGAAUGCCGGUGGAUACUGUCGGGCUCGAAUCCGGAAGAGGUGAGUGGAAUUCCUGGUGUAGCGGUGAAAUGCGCAGAUAUCAGGAGGAACACCAAUGGCGAAGGCAGCUCACUGGGACGGUAUUGACGCUGAGACGCGAAAGCGUGGGGAGCAAACAGG
Molecule: ribosomal RNA, 253 nt
Filed under: uncultured bacterium
Lineage: Bacteria
Description: partial 16S ribosomal RNA
Rfam family: Bacterial small subunit ribosomal RNA
Source: RNAcentral